Gallus gallus (chicken) is the source of this 1153-nucleotide long non-coding RNA. RefSeq lists it as uncharacterized. The transcript is spliced from 2 exons. Lineage: Eukaryota; Metazoa; Chordata; Aves; Galliformes; Phasianidae. The record is from RefSeq and is a predicted model, not a curated record.
GGUACAGUGCAGGACACAAAGGCGCCGCUCGGCACUGCCCCACACUUAGCGCCCGGCCCCUCGCACCCCCUGGCUCUGCAGCACUUAGCAAUGCCCACAGGGCUAGAACGCAGGUUCGCUUUCCUCACCGCCGCCCCCGCCUCCCCGAGCCGUCGCCUGCCUAUUUGCCACGCCAGAAAAGCCCUUUAAACUGCGGAGCUCUGGGCUAAAAAGUGUUUGCUGAUCUCUUCGCCUCCGCACCGCCGCUAAACGCUCGGGAAACCGGUGGACGUAGGGCUGCCCCGCCUCGACAAAUACUCCGGCUUUAAUUGCCAGAAGCCCAGUUAAAAUUAUUUGACGUACUGUUAACCCCUAGGAACGAACUCGCCGUCCCGAGAUCCUUUCCUUUCUGCCUCGUACCGUCGCCGAAGUCUGAGACCCGGGGAGACCUAUUUUAAAAACGUGGUUAAACUUUUACUAUUGUUGCAUGAAAGGGAUGAUAUAGAAAGCGGAUCGCGCGGGGCAGAGACUAAAAAGUACUUCUCUGCCAAUAAAAAUGCACACCCCACCGAACGAGCGCAGCCAAAGAAAACAGAGAAAUACGCCAAAGAACACAGCACCUUUCGAGGCACGGACAUCCCUCGGCUGUUGGGAAAAGAAAUGUUUUUUUGCUGUGCUGAUGCUCGAUUUCAGAAAAGAAAUAUUUGGCUUCCGGACGGAUUUAAUCAUAACAGAAAAACAGAGAGGCAAAAGGCUGUGUGGUGGUGUCGGUGCUCUGCUGAAAUCACGCGGAGCUCGAGGGCUGCGCCCCCGUGGGCAGGGGAGGCUGAUGGAAAGGGGACCGAAAUGCUGCAGGGAUAAUAUUUGGAUUCCCCCCCCCUGCCCCCCCCCUUUCCUCUGCAGCGCCGUGGAAGUAUUUAUACGUCCGGAGAAAGUUCUAUAGUAAAUUCGGGAGAUCUUCGCUAUUUGAAUAUCAACGUCGAUUUGUUUAUUUAUUGCUCGGCUUAUCGUACCAGACUCCGUAACAAAUCUAAUCAUGGUGCUCGCAGGAAAAGAAAAUAUUCUCAUUAUGUAUUUUCCCUCCAUUAUAGUUAACUGUUACAUUUGAAUUCGAGCUGUAAAUUCAAUAUUAUCAAGUAAUUACUUUGUGGCGGAGUAAACUAAUUUAUUAGCA